This 106-nucleotide small nuclear RNA is filed under the name Lynx canadensis (Canada lynx). The record is from RNAcentral. Lineage: Eukaryota; Metazoa; Chordata; Mammalia; Carnivora; Felidae.
GUGCUCAUUUCGGCAGCACAUAUACUAAAUUUGGAAUGAUACAGAGAAGAUUAGCACGGCCCCUGCGCAAGGGUGACACACAAAUUCGUGAAGCUUCCAUAUUUUU